This 544-nucleotide unclassified non-coding RNA is filed under the name Rhodotorula mucilaginosa. Its description in RNAcentral is "sequence contains 18S rRNA gene, ITS1, 5.8S rRNA gene, ITS2, 28S rRNA gene". The stretch from base 162 to 315 matches the Rfam family "5.8S ribosomal RNA". The record is from RNAcentral. Lineage: Eukaryota; Fungi; Basidiomycota; Microbotryomycetes; Sporidiobolales; Sporidiobolaceae.
GAUCAUUAGUGAAUAUAGGACGUCCAACUUAACUUGGAGUCCGAACUCUCACUUUCUAACCCUGUGCACUUGUUUGGGAUAGUAACUCUCGCAAGAGAGCGAACUCCUAUUCACUUAUAAACACAAAGUCUAUGAAUGUAUUAAAUUUUAUAACAAAAUAAAACUUUCAACAACGGAUCUCUUGGCUCUCGCAUCGAUGAAGAACGCAGCGAAAUGCGAUAAGUAAUGUGAAUUGCAGAAUUCAGUGAAUCAUCGAAUCUUUGAACGCACCUUGCGCUCCAUGGUAUUCCGUGGAGCAUGCCUGUUUGAGUGUCAUGAAUACUUCAACCCUCCUCUUUCUUAAUGAUUGAAGAGGUGUUUGGUUUCUGAGCGCUGCUGGCCUUUACGGUCUAGCUCGUUCGUAAUGCAUUAGCAUCCGCAAUCGAACUUCGGAUUGACUUGGCGUAAUAGACUAUUCGCUGAGGAAUUCUAGUCUUCGGACUAGAGCCGGGUUGGGUUAAAGGAAGCUUCUAAUCAGAAUGUCUACAUUUUAAGAUUAGAUCUC